AGCAGCCGCGGUAAUUCCAGCUCCAAUAGCGUAUAUUAAAGUUGUUGCAGUUAAAAAGCUCGUAGUUGAAUUUUAGGCCUGGCCGGACGGUCCGUCUCUGGCGAGUACUGUUCUGUCGUCGGGUCUAUCCUUCUGGUGAGCCGGUAUGUUCUUAAUUGGGCGUGUCGGGGAACCAGGACCAUUACCUUGAAAAAUUAGAGUGUUUAAAGCAGGCUUUUGCUUGAAUAGAUUAGCAUGGAAUAAUAGAAUAGGACGUUGUGGUUCUAUUUUGUUGGUUCUAGGACCACCGUAAUGAUUAAUAGGGAUAGUUGGGGGCAUUAGUAUUCAAUUGUCAGAGGUGAAAUUCUUGGAUUUAUUGAAGACUAACUACUGCGAAAGCAUUUGCCAAGGAUGUUUUCAUUAAUCAAGAACGAAAGUUAGGGGAUCGAAGACGAUCAGAUACCGUCGUAG
RNAcentral lists this ribosomal RNA (450 nucleotides) under uncultured Archaeospora. Its description in RNAcentral is "SSU rRNA". It matches the Rfam family "Eukaryotic small subunit ribosomal RNA", at positions 569 to 1023 of the family's 1831-position model. Lineage: Eukaryota; Fungi; Glomeromycota; Glomeromycetes; Archaeosporales; Archaeosporaceae. The record is from RNAcentral.